AGUGAACGCUGGCGGUAGGCCUAACACAUGCAAGUCGAACGGCAGCACAGUAAGAGCUUGCUCUUACGGGUGGCGAGUGGCGGACGGGUGAGGAAUACAUCGGAAUCUACUUUUUCGUGGGGGAUAACGUAGGGAAACUUACGCUAAUACCGCAUACGACCUACGGGUGAAAGCAGGGGAACUUCGGACCUUGCGCGAUUAAAUGAGCCGAUGUCGGAUUAGCUAGUUGGCGGGGUAAAGGCCCACCAAGGCGACGAUCCGUAGCUGGUCUGAGAGGAUGAUCAGCCACACUGGAACUGAGACACGGUCCAGACUCCUACGGGAGGCAGCAGUGGGGAAUAUUGGACAAUGGGCGCAAGCCUGAUCCAGCCAUACCGCGUGGGUGAAGAAGGCCUUCGGGUUGUAAAGCCCUUUUGUUGGGAAAGAAAAGCAGCAGGUUAAUACCCCGCUGUUCUGACGGUACCCAAAGAAUAAGCACCGGCUAACUUCGUG
This 492-nucleotide ribosomal RNA is filed under the name uncultured bacterium. RNAcentral's name for it is "partial 16S ribosomal RNA". It matches the Rfam family "Bacterial small subunit ribosomal RNA", at positions 29 to 507 of the family's 1533-position model. The record is from RNAcentral.